AAAAGAAGGGAACGGUUGCUGCUGAUGUAGUUCAAGUUUUGCACAAUUUAUAUCACAGUGGCUGUUCUUUUUUGUU
Molecule: non-coding RNA, 76 nt
Organism: Drosophila pseudoobscura pseudoobscura
Lineage: Eukaryota; Metazoa; Arthropoda; Insecta; Diptera; Drosophilidae
Source: Rfam